AGACCACUUUUUGCUAUUAAAUUGUUAGCAUGGAUGCUGGCAACACUCUGACCCAGGUCAGAUAGCACCGCCCUAGAUGAAUCCCAAAUAUGGCUUGGGAAUUAGUGCAUGCCAAGGGCAGCUCCCAGUAGGCAGUUUGGAUGCACUCGCCCCAGUUUGGCGGGUAAGGGAAGUGAAUGGGAUUGAGGCAGUCUAUUUUGUGCCAGAUGUUGCUGAGGGCCAGGAAACAUUCCUUAGCUCAUUUAGUUUACUAGAAUGGAUGCAGGCAAAGAGUGCAUUGUUCUGUCUCUUUAAGAGAGAGGAUGCAGUUACUCCUUAGCUUAGAACAAGGUCACCUUCCUUCAGAUAGGAAAAGGUAAAGAGUUAAAAAGCUGCUGGAAGAAGUAUCUGAAAGGGAAGAGGCAAGAUACACACAGAGCAGAAGAAGCACCUCCAGGCAAUGGAAGAAUUGGAAACUGUGAAAUUAAAAGUGCAUGUAUAAAUAUUGGGUGGGGAGGGGAACUAAACCAAAGAUACAGCUGUAUCUGGAUAUGCUGAAACUAUUGCCUACGAUGAUGAAAAGUAUCAGUACUGCAUUUGUUCAGGUGAUAACAUGAGGGGUCUUGUCUGCGCCCACAUGUAUAGGCACUAGGACAGAAUAUUAUACAUGGGAGUGGACAGUGUUACUUGUUUAUCAUCUUCUAUAAUGGCUAUGCUCAUGAAAGUACAUGUAGUGAAUUAUGUUGCUGUAGGCAGAACACACAGUCUAGAAGCAACAUGAAUCUAGUGGGAAAUCUGCAAACGCUGAACCUGUAAAUUGGCAGAUGAUCAGAUGGAGAUACUUGGAAGACAGGUAUAACUAGACCUGGAAUUAAGUACACAGCUUUCAUGUCUUUCUUCACCUCCUGUUAGCAUUAGUUAAAGUCCACAACAUGUUGAAGAUGAAAAAUGCUUUAUAAAAUUAUAAUUAAUGUAUUGAAAAAUUAUUUCAUUUUACUGGCUUAUGUAAUUUGCGCCUUUGUACCUAGAUCCAACCAGUCAACUAAAAGAAUGUAUUGAGUAAAACCAGCUUUUAGUGUGAAUAAUGUGUCAAGGAAUACAGCCUUCUGCUUUGCCGGAACUGUUGCUUUUCUGUUAACAAGGAGAGUCUACAGGAAGACUGUGCACGUUUGCAGGACUUUGGAGAGUUUAACAACAGAGCGCAGUGCUCUGAUCUUGUCAAGUGAAAUCCUCUGGACUUGUAUUCUCCAUCUGUUUCCAUUCAGUGGAAGCUCAUUCCCUUUUCAUACAGCAGCUGCUUCCUACAGGGCAACUUUAAGGCUGCAGACAUUACAAAGAGGUAUUGAAAGCGACAAUGGCUGGAUGUGCUUCAAGUACAUCGGAAGAGAACCCUACUGGCCCUCAAAGUGCCUGAGAUGGGUGGCAUGGGAUUAGAGGAUGGAGAACGGUACUCCUAUUGGAUCUGAAGCUGGAUCCCAAGAGUCCAUCUGCUCUGGGCUUUUGUUAUUUAUCCAUGCAUUAGCAAUAAUUUCACAUAUAUUCUGCCAAUUCCCCAGGCUUGUCUGGUUGUAGGGUUCCUUCCGCCAGAUUUUUCCGCCUGUCUUCUGGAGCCCUUCUCCUGGGGAUCACUCCCACUUCCUUUAUGUCAGAAUGGAUAACAAGGCACUUACCUCAGUAAGCCAGAAGAGUCUAUACAACCUUUCCCCACAGGUUUUGGUUUGGAUAACGAGGGGGAUUGUCUCUGGCAAAGACUAGUGGCUUGUGAUACAGUCCUUUGAAAAGCUAUGGUAAAAUAGGGUUUACAGUGAUACUGGCUAUUGAGAAUUUGAUUUCUCUGGUGCUGUUAAUAGAUUUUUUUUUCUCCUUCAGCUUUUUGUCUCAUAGCAAUUCUAUCCAUUCAUUUUAUAAACAUGUGAAUGCUCUCAUGAUCCUUUCGUAGGCCAACAAUGUCUGGCACAAGAACAUUUGAUUAUGAACAGUAGAAGAGAAAGUGAAAAUGUAACCUCCCUAUAGAAAUUUUAGAGAUUUCAGGGGAGAAGAUGUAUUGAAUAUAUGGAUUAGAGGAAAACCUUCCUGUGUAACUGGCUGGCUUCCCAAGCUUUUGUUAUUGGUGCAGUAUAUAAUAAAUGGCACUGUAUCACAA
This is a long non-coding RNA of Pseudopipra pipra, 2122 nucleotides long. RefSeq lists it as uncharacterized. The transcript is spliced from 2 exons. Lineage: Eukaryota; Metazoa; Chordata; Aves; Passeriformes; Pipridae. The record is from RefSeq and is a predicted model, not a curated record.